GACGAACGCUGGCGGCGUGCUUAACACAUGCAAGUCGAACGGAAAGGCCCUGCUUUUGUGGGGUGCUCAAGUGGCGAACGGGUGAGUAACACGUGAGUAACCUGCCCUUGACUUUGGGAUAACUUCAGGAAACUGGGGCUAAUACCGGAUAGGAGCUCCUGCUGCAUGGUGGGGGUUGGAAAGUUUCGGCGGUUGGGGAUGGACUCGCGGCUUAUCAGCUUGUUGGUGGGGUGGUGGCUUACCAAGGCUUUGACGGGUAGCCGGCCUGAGAGGGUGACCGGCCACACUGGGACUGAGAUACGGCCCAGACUCCUACGGGAGGCAGCAGUGGGGAAUAUUGCACAAUGGGCGGAAGCCUGAUGCAGCAACGCCGCGUGCGGGAUGACGGCCUUCGGGUUGUAAACCGCUUUCGCCAGGGACGAAGCGAGAGUGACGGUAAUGGGAAAAGAAGCACCGGCUAACUACGUG
This 468-nucleotide ribosomal RNA is filed under the name uncultured bacterium. RNAcentral describes it as "partial 16S ribosomal RNA". It matches the Rfam family "Bacterial small subunit ribosomal RNA", at positions 28 to 507 of the family's 1533-position model. The record is from RNAcentral.